RNAcentral lists this long non-coding RNA (202 nucleotides) under Elaeis guineensis (African oil palm). Its description in RNAcentral is "long non-coding RNA (EGUI_LNC076284)". Lineage: Eukaryota; Viridiplantae; Streptophyta; Magnoliopsida; Arecales; Arecaceae. The record is from RNAcentral.
GGUGUGCAUCAAGAUGGAAUCUAUCAAUCUUAAAAAAAGGGAGUAGUCCUAUAAAAUUUAAGAGACUGAGUUCUUAAGUCUAUAGCUAUAGCAGUGUGAUUGAUGGAAAAAAAUUAUCAAAGAAUCACAUAUGGACUCAAGCUGAUUGAAUCUAUCAUAUGAUGGAUGAUGAGGUUUGAUGAUUCAUCCAUGACCUGCCAUC